CAGCACCUCAAGUGGUCAGGAUGAUUAUUGGGCCUAAAGCAUCCGUAGCCGGCGCUGUAAGUUUUCGGUUAAAUCUGUACGCUCAACGUACAGGCUGCCGGGAAUACUGCAGCGCUAGGGAGUGGGAGAGGUAUACGGUACUCGGUAGGAAGGGGUAAAAUCCUUUGAUCUAUUGAUGACCACCUGUGGCGAAGGCGGUCUACCAGAACACGUCCGACGGUGAGGGAUGAAAGCUGGGGGAGCAAACCGGAUUAGAUACCCGAGUAGUCC
Molecule: ribosomal RNA, 270 nt
Filed under: uncultured archaeon
Lineage: Archaea
Description: partial 16S ribosomal RNA
Rfam family: Archaeal small subunit ribosomal RNA
Source: RNAcentral